CAGAGAACACAUCUUCUCCCGCGAAGUUUCAAAACCCCAAACCUCAUCCCUCCAUCUCCAUCUCCACCGUCCCCCUCCCUCACCUACCGCGCUGCCGCCCAUGAGCACCGUCGAUCGCCACUACUGCCGACCAAGAGCACCAACGCCGACCACCGCCGCUCUCUCUGCAAGACUGCUAUUGCUCUCUCUCUCUCUAUGAACAUACGGAAAUUGGUUGGGUUGGUGAUUGGGGACGAAGACAAACGAUUAGCCGAGGCUGGCUGGACCGUUAGGUGGCGCUGUCCACCGACUCCUGUGCAUAUAUAGAAUAUGGGUUACUUGCUUCAUGCUAUCAAUGACUAAUCCGAACAAAUCCUUUGAGAGAAUUGGAUGAUGAGUUGAAAGAGUCACUUUAUGAAUUCUUGCCUUCUUGGAAGCAAAAGCUGCAAAGGGAUGAGUUGCAAGAGUCACAACAUUCAAAAAAAUAUAAUUUUGUUGUUCAAAGGCAAUCUUGUUGCCCGUAAAACAUUACAAGCAAUAACCAUUUUGAACAUAGCCAGACAUCAAAGCAUAGCAACAUCAAUACUACCUGUUUUUGCAUA
Alnus glutinosa is the source of this 581-nucleotide long non-coding RNA. RefSeq lists it as uncharacterized. The transcript has 4 exons. NCBI's taxonomy places the organism in Eukaryota, Viridiplantae, Streptophyta, Magnoliopsida, Fagales, Betulaceae. The record is from RefSeq and is a predicted model, not a curated record.